This 396-nucleotide unclassified non-coding RNA is filed under the name soil metagenome. RNAcentral describes it as "partial contains 5.8S ribosomal RNA, internal transcribed spacer 2, and large subunit ribosomal RNA". The stretch from base 1 to 122 matches the Rfam family "5.8S ribosomal RNA", at positions 35 to 154 of the family's 154-position model. The record is from RNAcentral.
GAUGAAGAACGUAGUGAAAUGCGAUACUUGGUGUGAAUUGCAGAAUCCCGUGAACCAUCGAGUCUUUGAACGCAAGUUGCGCCCGAAGCCAUUUGGUUGAGGGCACGUCUGCCUGGGCGUCACAUAUCGUUGCCCGAUGCCUAUUGCACUGUGAUAGGAAAUUCUAGGGCGAAAGAUGGCUUCCCGUGAGCGUUGUUGCCUCGCGGUUGGUUGAAAAUUGAGUCCUUGGUAGGGUGUGCCAUGAUAGAUGGUGGUCGAGUUUGCACGAGACCGAUCAUGUGUGCGCUCCCCAAAAUAUGGACUCUUUGACCCCACACACGUCUUUUGACGCUCAUGACGAGACCUCAGGUCAGGCGGGGCUACCCGCUGAGUUUAAGCAUAUCAAUAAGCGGAGGA